This 358-nucleotide unclassified non-coding RNA is filed under the name soil metagenome. RNAcentral describes it as "partial contains 5.8S ribosomal RNA, internal transcribed spacer 2, and large subunit ribosomal RNA". The stretch from base 1 to 120 matches the Rfam family "5.8S ribosomal RNA", at positions 35 to 154 of the family's 154-position model. The record is from RNAcentral.
GAUGAAGAACGUAGCGAAAUGCGAUAAGUAAUGUGAAUUGCAGACUUCAGUGAAUCAUCGAAUCUUUGAACGCACAUUGCGCCCGUCAGUAUUCUGGCGGGCAUGCCUGUUCGAGCGUCAUUACGCCCCUCAAGUCCCCUGUGGACUUGGUGUUGGGGAUCGGCGAGGCUGGUUUUCCAGCACAGCCGUCCCUUAAAUUAAUUGGCGGUCUCGCCGUGGCCCUCCUCUGCGCAGUAGUAAAACACUCGCAACAGGAGCCCGGCGCGGUCCACUGCCGUAAAACCCCCCAACUUUUUAUAGUUGACCUCGAAUCAGGUAGGACUACCCGCUGAACUUAAGCAUAUCAAUAAGCGGAGGA